RNAcentral lists this ribosomal RNA (500 nucleotides) under uncultured bacterium. RNAcentral's name for it is "partial 16S ribosomal RNA". It matches the Rfam family "Bacterial small subunit ribosomal RNA", at positions 29 to 523 of the family's 1533-position model. The record is from RNAcentral.
AUUGAACGCUGGCGGCAUGCCCUACACAUGCAAGUCGAACGGCAGCACGGGAGCAAUCCUGGUGGCGAGUGGCGAACGGGUGAGUAAAGUAUCGGAACGUGCCCAGUCGUGGGGGAUAACGUAGCGAAAGUUACGCUAAUACCGCAUACGAUCUAUGGAUGAAAGCGGGGGAUCGCAAGACCUCGCGCGAUUGGAGCGGCCGAUAGCAGAUUAGGUAGUUGGUGGGGUAAAGGCUCACCAAGCCGACGAUCUGUAGCUGGUCUGAGAGGGCGCCCAGCCCCGCGGGGACUGAGCCACGGCCCAGACUCCGACGGGAGGCAGCAGUGGGGAAUUUUGGACAAUGGGCGCAAGCCUGAUCCAGCCAUGCCGCGUGCAGGAUGAAGGCUUUCGGGUUGUAAACUGCUUUUGUACGGAACGAAAAGGUUUGGCCUAAUACGCUGAACUCAUGACGGUACCGUAAGAAUAAGCACCGGCUAACUACGUGCCAGCCGCCGCGGUAA